UAGGGAAUCUUCCACAAUGGACGCAAGUCUGAUGGAGCAACGCCGCGUGAGUGAAGAAGGCUUUCGGGUCGUAAAACUCUGUUAUUGAAGAAGAACGUGCGUGACGGUAACUGGUCAUGCAGUGACGGUAUUCAAUCAGAAAGUCACGGCUAACUACGUGCCAGCAGCCGCGGUAAUACGUAGGUGGCAAGCGUUGUCCGGAUUUAUUGGGCGUAAAGCGAGUGCAGGCGGUCUUUUAAGUCUGAUGUGAAAGCCUUCGGCUUAACCGA
RNAcentral lists this ribosomal RNA (269 nucleotides) under uncultured bacterium. RNAcentral describes it as "partial 16S ribosomal RNA". It matches the Rfam family "Bacterial small subunit ribosomal RNA", at positions 355 to 616 of the family's 1533-position model. The record is from RNAcentral.